This 508-nucleotide ribosomal RNA is filed under the name Spirulina subsalsa TUEA2022CB2. Its description in RNAcentral is "bacterial SSU rRNA". It matches the Rfam family "Bacterial small subunit ribosomal RNA", at positions 257 to 781 of the family's 1533-position model. Lineage: Bacteria; Bacillati; Cyanobacteriota; Cyanophyceae; Spirulinales; Spirulinaceae. The record is from RNAcentral.
GUAAGAGCCUACCAUGGCGACGAUCAGUAGCUGUUCUGAGAGGAAGAUCAGCCACACUGGGACUGAGACACGGCCCAGACUCCUACGGGAGGCAGCAGUGGGGAAUUUUCCGCAAUGGGCGAAAGCCUGACGGAGCAAUACCGCGUGCGGGAGGAAGGCCUUUGGGUCGUAAACCGCUUUUCUUAGGGAAGAAACCUGACGGUACCUAAGGAAUAAGCCUCGGCUAACUCCGUGCCAGCAGCCGCGGUAAUACGGAGGAGGCGAGCGUUAUCCGGAAUUAUUGGGCGUAAAGAGUCCGUAGGUGGUUCAUCAAGUCUGCGGUCAAAGAGUGCAGCUCAACUGCAUAAAGGCCGUGGAAACUGUUGAACUAGAGAACAGUAGGGGUAGAGGGAAUUCCCAGUGUAGCGGUGAAAUGCGUAGAGAUUGGGAAGAACACCGGUGGCGAAAGCGCCCUACUGGGCCAUAACUGACACUGAGGGACGAAAGCUAGGGGAGCGAAAGGGAUUAG